Molecule: ribosomal RNA, 326 nt
Filed under: uncultured eukaryote
Lineage: Eukaryota
Description: partial 18S ribosomal RNA
Rfam family: Eukaryotic small subunit ribosomal RNA
Source: RNAcentral
CCCUUAGAUGUUCUGGGCUGCACGCGCGCUACACUGAUGCGCUCAACGAGUUUACGACCUUGCCCGGAAGGGUUGGGUAAUCUUUUUAAAACGCAUCGUGAUGGGGAUAGAUUAUUGUAAUUAUUAAUCUUUAACGAGGAAUUCCUAGUAAGCGCGAGUCAUCAGCUCGUGCUGAUUACGUCCCUGCCCUUUGUACACACCGCCCGUCGCUCCUACCGAUUGAAUGAUCCGGUGAAUAAUUCGGACUGCAGCAGUGUUCAGUUCCUGAACGUUGCAGCGGAAAGUUUAGUGAACCUUAUCACUUAGAGGAAGGAGAAGUCGUAACA